AGAGUUUGAUCCUGGCUCAAAACGAACGCUUGCGGCGUGGAUAAGACAUGCAAGUCGAACGAGAGAAUUGCUAGCUUGCUAAUAAUUCUCUAGUGGCGCACGGGUGAGUAACACGUGAGUAACCUGCCCCCAAGAGUGGGAUAGCCCCGGGAAACUGGGAUUAAUACCGCAUAAAAUCGCAAGAUUAAAGCAGCAAUGCGCUUGGGGAUGGGCUCGCGUCCUAUUAGUUAGUUGGUGAGGUAACGGCUCACCAAGGCGAUGACGGGUAGCCGGUCUGAGAGGAUGUCCGGCCACACUGGAACUGAGACACGGUCCAGACACCUACGGGUGGCAGCAGUCGAGAAUCAUUCACAAUGGGGGAAACCCUGAUGGUGCGACGCUGCGUGGGGGAAUGAAGGUCUUCGGAUUGUAAACCCCUGUCAUGUGGGAGCAAAUUAAAAAGAUAGUACCACAAGAGGAAGAGACGGCUAACUCUGUGCCAGCAGCCGCGGUAAUACAGAGGUCUCAAGCGUUGUUCGGAAUCACUGGGCGUAAAGCGUGCGUAGGCGGUUUCGUAAGUUGUGUGUGAAAGGCGGGGGCUCAACCCCCGGACUGCACAUGAUACUGCGAGACUAGAGUAAUGGAGGGGGAACCGGAAUUCUCGGUGUAGCAGUGAAAUGCGUAGAUAUCGAGAGGAACACUCGUGGCGAAGGCGGGUUCCUGGACAUUAACUGACGCUGAGGCACGAAGGCCAGGGGAGCGAAAGAGAUUAGAUACCCCUGUAGUCCUGGCAGUAAACGGUGCACACGUGGUGUGCGGGGAAUCGACCCCCUGCGUGCCGGAGCUAACGCGUUAA
This 835-nucleotide ribosomal RNA is filed under the name uncultured bacterium. RNAcentral describes it as "bacterial SSU rRNA". It matches the Rfam family "Bacterial small subunit ribosomal RNA", at positions 8 to 863 of the family's 1533-position model. The record is from RNAcentral.